AGCGAACGCUGGCGGCAGGCCUAACACAUGCAAGUCGAACGAACUCUUCGGAGUUAGUGGCGGACGGGUGAGUAACACGUGGGAACGUGCCUUUAGGUUCGGAAUAACUCAGGGAAACUUGUGCUAAUACCGAAUGUGCCCUUCGGGGGAAAGAUUUAUCGCAUUUCGAGCGGCCCGCGUCUGAUUAGCUAGUUGGUGAGGUAAAGGCUCACCAAGGCGCCGAUCAGUAGCUGGUCUGAGAGGAUGAUCAGCCACAUUGGGACUGAGACACGGCCCAAACUCCUACGGGAGGCAGCAGUGGGGAAUCGUGCGCAAUGGGCGAAAGCCUGACGCAGCCAUGCCGGGUGAAUGAUGAAGGUCUUAGGAUUGUAAUAUUCUUUCACCGGGGACGAUAAUGACGGUACCCGGAGAAGAAGCCCCGGCUAACUUCGUG
This 433-nucleotide ribosomal RNA is filed under the name uncultured bacterium. Its description in RNAcentral is "partial 16S ribosomal RNA". It matches the Rfam family "Bacterial small subunit ribosomal RNA", at positions 29 to 507 of the family's 1533-position model. The record is from RNAcentral.